AAAUUGAAGAGUUUGAUCAUGGCUCAGAUUGAACGCUGGCGGCAGGCCUAACACAUGCAAGUCGAACGGUAACAGGAAACAGCUUGCUGUUUCGCUGACGAGUGGCGGACGGGUGAGUAAUGUCUGGGAAACUGCCUGAUGGAGGGGGAUAACUACUGGAAACGGUAGCUAAUACCGCAUAACGUCGCAAGACCAAAGAGGGGGACCUUCGGGCCUCUUGCCAUCGGAUGUGCCCAGAUGGGAUUAGCUUGUUGGUGGGGUAACGGCUCACCAAGGCGACGAUCCCUAGCUGGUCUGAGAGGAUGACCAGCCACACUGGAACUGAGACACGGUCCAGACUCCUACGGGAGGCAGCAGUGGGGAAUAUUGCACAAUGGGCGCAAGCCUGAUGCAGCCAUGCCGCGUGUAUGAAGAAGGCCUCGGGUUGUAAAGUACUUUCAGCGGGGAGGAAGGGAGUAAAGUUAAUACCUUUGCUCAUUGACGUUACCCGCAGAAGAAGCACCGGCUAACUCCGUGCCAGCAGCCGCGGUAAUACGGAGGGUGCAAGCGUUAAUCGGAAUUACUGGGCGUAAAGCGCACGCAGGCGGUUUGUUAAGUCAGAUGUGAAAUCCCCGGGCUCAACCUGGGAACUGCAUCUGAUACUGGCAAGCUUGAGUCUCGUAGAGGGGGGUAGAAUUCCAGGUGUAGCGGUGAAAUGCGUAGAGAUCUGGAGGAAUACCGGUGGCGAAGGCGGCCCCCUGGACGAAGACUGACGCUCAGGUGCGAAAGCGUGGGGAGCAAACAGGAUUAGAUACCCUGGUAGUCCACGCCGUAAACGAUGUCGACUUGGAGGUUGUGCCCUUGAGGCGUGGCUUCCGGAGCUAACGCGUUAAGUCGACCGCCUGGGGAGUACGGCCGCAAGGUUAAAACUCAAAUGAAUUGACGGGGGCCCGCACAAGCGGUGGAGCAUGUGGUUUAAUUCGAUGCAACGCGAAGAACCUUACCUGGUCUUGACAUCCACGGAAGUUUUCAGAGAUGAGAAUGUGCCUUCGGGAACCGUGAGACAGGUGCUGCAUGGCUGUCGUCAGCUCGUGUUGUGAAAUGUUGGGUUAAGUCCCGCAACGAGCGCAACCCUUAUCCUUUGUUGCCAGCGGUCCGGCCGGGAACUCAAAGGAGACUGCCAGUGAUAAACUGGAGGAAGGUGGGGAUGACGUCAAGUCAUCAUGGCCCUUACGACCAGGGCUACACACGUGCUACAAUGGCGCAUACAAAGAGAAGCGACCUCGCGAGAGCAAGCGGACCUCAUAAAGUGCGUCGUAGUCCGGAUUGGAGUCUGCAACUCGACUCCAUGAAGUCGGAAUCGCUAGUAAUCGUGGAUCAGAAUGCCACGGUGAAUACGUUCCCGGGCCUUGUACACACCGCCCGUCACACCAUGGGAGUGGGUUGCAAAAGAAGUAGGUAGCUUAACCUUCGGGAGGGCGCUUACCACUUUGUGAUUCAUGACUGGGGUGAAGUCGUAACAAGGUAACCGUAGGGGAACCUGCGGUUGGAUCACCUCCUUACCUUAAAGAAGC
RNAcentral lists this ribosomal RNA (1553 nucleotides) under Escherichia coli O104:H4 str. LB226692. RNAcentral describes it as "bacterial SSU rRNA". It matches the Rfam family "Bacterial small subunit ribosomal RNA". The record is from RNAcentral. Lineage: Bacteria; Pseudomonadati; Pseudomonadota; Gammaproteobacteria; Enterobacterales; Enterobacteriaceae.